CUGUCAAGCUCUUAUAUGGUGCAUUAGCAUAUGGUACAUAGUCACGACUCUUGGGCCAAGGGAAUGGAGUAACGUAACCCUUGGGUGCUGGAAUUAGGCAAUGCAGCUUCCCUUCCUCUGAAGGACAAUGCCUCUCUCGAUAAAUCAUGUUUUCCCUAGGGAAAGUCAUAGCACGUUUCUGAUCUUGGCAAGGCGUGUAGUCAGUGUAACGGGGAUGACAAGGCUUGAACACUUUGGGUUUGGAUUCAGAAUCAUUGAUAGUCCCAAUUUCACCACCAUGAUGGGUCUCAAAAUUUAGACUUGGGAUUAAAUUGCAGUCUCCAGCGUAUUUUUAGUGAUCUCCAUAGCAAGAUUGUCUGCCUUCCCAAAUCCACUCCUCUGCCAUGCGCCCAAUAUAUAGAAGAAACAGCAUAGGCCAACUACAAUAAAAAUUUGUAUAGAACUCCUAGUUCUACCAUCAGCUGAAUUAGUUUUCAAUGCCAUUAUAGCCCAAUCGCAUGAAGCAGUCCCGCUAAAAGAUCCAACACUCCAAUCAGACAAAAAGUAUAGAGCAGAGCAAAAGGAAGUCUUCCACUUGAGUAGCUUCGCUGCUUUUCUGCAAAGAAAAUAAUGAUGAAGCCGCAGAAUUGUGAAGGAUACUUCCUAGCAGAGAUCUCCAAGAUCCAAUCCCAACCAGUUCUCUCAAUAAAUCUGUCAAAACCUUGGCUCCGGCCUCCGAUCGCCGAUUUAAAAAUAAUUAAUUAAUUAAAUAAAACAAAAAAGAGUCCGCAGGUGAGUCUGUUG
This 783-nucleotide unclassified non-coding RNA is filed under the name Hevea brasiliensis (rubber tree). Lineage: Eukaryota; Viridiplantae; Streptophyta; Magnoliopsida; Malpighiales; Euphorbiaceae. The record is from RNAcentral.